GGCUCCUCACAUGAGGUGGCCAAAGUAUUGGCGCUUCAGCUUCAGCAUCAGCCCUUCCAAUGAAUACAUUGUAACUACUUAACUCUAGUAUAAAGAUUAAAGGACAAAAGUAUUGAGAAUAGCUAUAGAUAUAAUAAUUUGUUAAUGGAUACACAAUAUAAAAAGAUAUAAAUGGUGACAUUAAAAACUUAAAAAUGGGGAGAGUGAAGGGGUAGAUUCUUGUAAGUGAACAAAGUUAAGCUGAUAUCACCAUAAAAUAGUGUUACAUUCAUAAGAUGUUUCACAUAAGCUUCACAGUAACCAAAGCGAUCCUGAGAAAGAAGAACAAAACUGGAGGCAACACACACCCUAAAAUUUCAAAGCAUUCUACUAAACUACAGUAAUCAAAAUAGUUUGGUUCUGGAAUGAAAAUAGAUGUGUAAACCGACGGAACAGAAUCAAGAUCCCAGAAAUAAACUCUCAUACAUAUGGUUAACUAAUAUUUGACAAGGAAGCCAAGAAUAUUCAUUGGAGAAAUGACAGACUCUCCAAUAAAUGGUUUUGGGAAAAUGGGAUAAUCACAUGCAGAGAAAUGAAAUUGGACCCUUAACUUACACCACUUAAAAAAAUUAACUUGAAAUGGAUUAAAGACUUAAUCAUAAGAUUAAAAACAGAAAAUCCCUAGAAGAAAAUCAGAGAAAAAAUGUCUUGAUGUUGGUUUUGGUAAUAAUUUUUUGGAUAUGAUACCCAAAACACAAAGAGCAAAAGCAAAGCACAAACAAUCAGCAAAAUGAAAUGGCAACCUAUGAAAUGAGAGGAAUUAUUUUCAAAUCAUUUAUCUGAUAAGAGGUUAAUAUCCAAAAUAUAUAAAACUCAAUAGCAAAAAAAAAUCCCCAAUGAUUCAAUUAAAAAAAUGAACGGAGGAUCUAUAUAGACAUUUUUCCAGAGAAGAUACACAAAUGGCCAAAAGUUACAUGAAAAAAAGUGCUCAGCAUCACUUAUCAUAAGGAGAGUGAAAAUCAAACCACAGUGAGAUACCAUUUCAUGUCUGUUAGAAUGGUUGUCAAUGACAGGAGAUAAUGAGUGUUGGAGAUGAUGUGGAGAGAAGGGAAACUUAUACAUUAUUGAUGGGAAUGUAAACUGGCACAGCGACUAUAGAAAAAAGUGUACAGGUUCCUCAAAAGAUAAAAAAUAGAACUACCAUAUGAUCCAUCAAUUCCAUUUCUUGGUUUAUAUUAAAAGGAAACAGAAUCACUAUCUCAAGAUUUCUGCACAGCCGUGUUCAUUGCAGUAUUAUUUAUAACAGACAAGAUAUGGAAAUGACUUAGGAGUCCAUUGAUACAGAAACAAAUAAAGAAAAGGUGCAGAUAUAUAGGUAGAUAUAAUAUGCACACACACAUAUAUAUGAUGGAAUAUUAUUCAGCCAUAAAAAGAAGGCAGUUCUGUCAUUUGUGACAACGUGGAUGGACUUUGCAGGCCUUGUGCCAAGUGAAAUAAGUCAGAUGGAGAAAGACAGAUGCUAUAUGAUAUCACUUAUAUGUGGACUCUAAGAAAACCAAACUGAAAGAAACGAAACAGAUUGGUGACUGUCUGAGGUGGGAGCGGGUAGGGGUAUGGGGAAAUGAGAUGUUUGUCAAAGGGUACAAACUUUCAGUUAUAAGAUAAACAAAUUCUGGUGAUCUAUUUUACAACGUGGUAAUUAUAAUUAUUAUAUAAUUGAAAGUUGCUAAAAGAGUAGAUCUUACAUGUUCUCGCUACAAAAAAGAGAUGAUAACUAUGUGAUGUGCAGGAGGUGUUAACAAAUGCUAUGGUGGUAAUCGUUCUCCAAUAUUUAAGCAGAUAAAAUCUUGUUGUACACCCUAAACUUACCCAAUGUUGCAUGUCAAUUACAUCUUAAUAAAGAUGGAAAAAACAUGCAUAUAACAUUAAGUGAUACUUACACAUGGGUGGGAAUAAAUCAGUGGAGAAGAGAAAAUGAUGAUGCAGGUGACCUUAACUGAGAAGCAGUUUUACUUCUGGGGCUCGCAGAUGGGGAAAUUACAGUCCCCAUCCCAGGAGCCAAUGAGUAGGACCUAGUGGUAGCUGUGUCUUUUCUGUCUUCCAAGAGAGCAGCUUGUUUGCAGUCGUAAACGAGUACAGUGGUAAGCAAGUGUAAACCUGGCCCCUGACUUUAUGCAAAAAGCCUGGUUUGAAUUCAGUUCCUGUUUUCCGGAGGAAGUAGAAAUUCCAUUCUCCGCAGUCUUGUAUGCCUGCUGAACUGAGCUCUGAAUCCUCACGGGCUAACUGUGUGGAGCUUGAGUUAGUGAAAUAUAAUAAUUAAUAUCAAUUGAGUGCUUAUUGUACGCGAGGUUUAUCAACUCUAGUAAGCCUCACCACAGCCCUAUGAAGCUGAGGUACAGAGAUGCUAAGUAACUUGCCAGUGGUCCCCCAUUCAGAACCCAGGAAGUGGUAGUCCUGGGAUUUGAAUUUAGGCGGUCUGACUGCAGAACUCUGGGGUUUGAUGACAGUUUAUCUGGAGGGAGUAUGGGAGAGUGGGUUCAUUACAUAGUACAGAAUAAUUUGGGGAUGCUGAUCUUAAAAAAUUUCUUCACCAUAACAUUAGAACUAUAUUCAUGUUGUGGGCAGUGGAUUUAUUUUUAGCAAAACAUGAUUUAUUACAUUAAAUGAAUGUCAGAAAUGUAGGGGCUUUUGGGGAAAUAAAAUUCUAAGUAUGUUUGUUUUUUAAAGCUGUAAAUAAGCUAAAGUAUAUAACCUGAUUUUAUGUUUACAUUUAAGUAACACUGCAAUAAUUAUUAUUUUAACCAACAAUGGGAGUCCUCAAAAUUUUUUGUCCCGAGAGCCUAUUACUCAAGUAUAAAGUAGAUUGAUACAGUUUUUUUUUUAUCUCUUUUUUUUUCCUGGAAGAAAGAAGAUCUUUGUUUCUCUUCUCAGUCUCCUAAGCAUUAACCAGACCUCUGCUUGUACAGAGGAGUUAACAGUAUGACUCAGAAGAACUGUUCUCAUCCUGGCUAAAAAGACUGCUUUUGAGGGACUCUUCAGAGACUUGGCUGAAAAGGCUCCAGCUGCCUGGUGUGAUACUAAAGGCAUCACCGACUCGAUGGACGUGAGUUUGAGUGAACUCCGGGAGAUGGUGGUGGAGGCCUGGCGUGCUGUGAUUCAUGGGGUCGCAAAGAGUCGGACACGACUGAGUGAGUGACUGGACUGAACUGAACUGAAAGGUCAGAAAUAUUUAAUUCUCAAAAUCAAUUCUCCAUUCAGGGAUGAUCAGUUGCAAUAGACUUGGUGAAAUAGAGGUAUCAGUAUCUUUCCAUUUCCUUUCCAGUGUAAUUAUAUGUUUUAUUUAUUCCUGAAAUAUACUGGAUUGGAAAAAAAAUUCAUUUAGGUUGUCCAUAAAAUAUUAUUUAUAUUUAAUUUGAAUUUAUAUACUCUAUAAAAUUAAUGGAGCUAUUUAAAAAUUUUAAGCACAUUCAGCAUUUUCUCAUUUAAUGUUUUUAAAUUGAAUAACAAGACUGUAUUUGGUUUUGUUUGGAAAAUGUGCUAGCUGACGGAAAAUGACCUUACAAUUAAUUAUGAUUGAACUGUGAACUACUGUGAAUUCAAUAUUUUGAACUGUGAACAACUCAUCAGCUUACCUCAUUGGUUAUAAUACAAUUCACAUUUAUAUGACAAGUUAUUUGAUAAUUUUGUAAAUAAAUAAACUCAUUUUCUGAUAUGAUUAUAGCUUUGUUUGUAACAGUUAUGAAGACAUGUUUGUAAUCUGAUGUUAGUAUAUUAAUUUAUCUACUCACAAAGUGUUCAUCUUUUUCAAACCACAAAGAAAAGCAGUGCAGACUCUUUAAUAUUAAAUGUUAAUUUUUCAAGCUCCAGCAUUUAGUAAACACAGUUUUUAAAAAAUUAUGGCACUAGAACUUUGUAAGUUCUCAAGAUGUAGAGAGAAAUUUCUGGCAAAGAUUGAUUUAGAGGACAAAAGCAAAUGCCUACUCUUUAAUUAAAUUGCCCAGAUAGGCACUGCAGAACUCUAAAACUCAUUCUGGAAUUAAGUCCUGUGUGUGAGCUGAGGCCAAGCUUCCUAUUUUACAGGUUUGUCAAGGGAUUUAUAUAAGCAAGAUCAGGAUAUCUGAGGUUGACUCUCAAAUAGGCUAUGUUUUAUGAGUCUAAAUAGAACUUGAAUUUGUCCAAAAUUCAUUCCUGCUUAUCAAUCUCCAGGGGAUCUUCCCAACCCAGGGAUGGAACCCUGGUCUCCUACGUUGCAGGCAGAUUCUUUACUGUUUGAGCCACCAGGGAAGCCCCCUAUGUUAUCAAAGUGAAGUCGCUCAGUCGUGUCUGACUCUUUUCGACCCCAGGGGCUGUAGCCUAUCAGGCUUCUCUGUCCAUGGGAUUUUCCAGGCAAGAGUGCUGGAGUGGAUUGCCAUUUCCUUCUCCAGAUGUUAUCAAUACCUUGUGUAAAAACAAAGGAAAAAAAAAUACCUUUGGAUAAAUAACUGAUUAGCAAUUAGUUUAGUAAUUUUUUGAUACGGAUAAGUUUGCUGCUACUGCUGCUAAGUUGCUUCAGUCCUGUCCGACUCUGUGCAACCACACAGACGGCAGUUUAGUAUGUAGCAAUAUAAAACCAACUAAGUUUCUAGAAUAGAAUCAGAAGAGGUAAUUUAAUAAUCAACAUUAAAAAGUGUCCAAGCUUUUCUUAAAUUUAAUGGUGUUCCCCUGCCCCAACUGAAUUGCUUUCUAAGAGAUUAUUUUUCUGGAGGUUUUAUCACCUAUACUUUAACAGUUUACUCUUAGUGUAUUAAGUUUAUUUGUAUUUUGUUAAAUACCUUGUUUUCCUUUUCAUCAACUUUAAACAUUCUCUGCAUUUCACACGAGGUGCAUCAUCAGAAAAUUGUGUUUAUAUAUGUGUGUAUUAUGCACACAUUUUGCCUUUAGCUCCUUAAGUCAACUAAAGAAAAAUCAUAGAUGUGUAAGUUAAUUUCUCUCACAGAAGAGGGAUGAUCAGUUACAACAUACCUGAUGAAAUAAAGGUAUCAAUAUCUUUCCAUUUCCUUUUUAGUGUGACUGAUCAUUCUUUCCUUUUUUCCCUCUGAAUUUGUAUCCACGUUUGCAACUUUCUGAUAUGAAGCCUUACGUCCUGCAAAAAUCACACUGUGUCUAGAAGUUUAAUUUUCUGAGAUUAUAAGUUACAGGCUACCUUCCCUUCUGUCUUAAUUGACUGCCACUACUGCAUUCCUAUUGGGAUGACCUGAUUUUGUCCAUUUCACUUACUUUGGGGAUAGCCUUUGAGUUUUCCAGCG
Bos taurus (domestic cattle) is the source of this 5264-nucleotide long non-coding RNA. The record is from Ensembl. NCBI's taxonomy places the organism in Eukaryota, Metazoa, Chordata, Mammalia, Artiodactyla, Bovidae.